RNAcentral lists this ribosomal RNA (439 nucleotides) under uncultured bacterium. Its description in RNAcentral is "SSU rRNA". It matches the Rfam family "Bacterial small subunit ribosomal RNA", at positions 26 to 518 of the family's 1533-position model. The record is from RNAcentral.
AGAGUGAACGCUGGCGGCAGGCCUAACACAUGCAAGUCGAACGCACCGCAAGGUGAGUGGCAGACGGGUGAGUAACACGUGGGAAUUUUCCCUUUAGUUCAGGAUAGCCCCGGGAAACUGGGAUUAAUACUGGAUAUUAUCUACGGAUGAAAGAUUUAUCGCUAAAGGAUAAGCCCGCGUAAGAUUAGCUAGUUGGUGAGGUAAUGGCUCACCAAGGCUAUGAUCUUUAGCUGGUCUGAGAGGAUGAUCAGCCACACUGGAACUGAGACACGGUCCAGACUCCUACGGGAGGCAGCAGUGAGGAAUAUUGGACAAUGGGCGCAAGCCUGAUCCAGCCAUGCCGCGUGAGUGAUGAAGGCCUUAGGGUUGUAAACUCUUUAGUGGGAAAUAAUGAUGGUACCACAGAAAAGCUACCGGCUAACUUCGCGCCAGCAGCCGC